This 69-nucleotide transfer RNA is filed under the name Parcubacteria group bacterium RIFCSPLOWO2_02_FULL_40_12. RNAcentral's name for it is "tRNA-Gly". It matches the Rfam family "tRNA". Rfam says of the family: Transfer RNA (tRNA) molecules are approximately 80 nucleotides in length. Their secondary structure includes four short double-helical elements and three loops (D, anti-codon, and T loops). The record is from RNAcentral.
GGGUAUGGUUUAGUGGCAGAAUGCGACCUUCCCAAGGUCGAGACCCGAGUUCGAUUCUCGGUAUCCGCA